Molecule: long non-coding RNA, 577 nt
Organism: Cucurbita moschata (crookneck pumpkin)
Lineage: Eukaryota; Viridiplantae; Streptophyta; Magnoliopsida; Cucurbitales; Cucurbitaceae
Exons: 3
Source: RefSeq, a predicted model, not a curated record
AGAAAUAGAAAUAGAAAAAGAAAAAAAAAAUAGGAAAAGUCGAGAGGGGCAAAUAGGUAAAUUUGCCCCUCCAACCACCUAAGGGGUCCAAACGAAACCCCAUCCAUAGUUCUGCAAAAGAGAGAUAGUGAGAGAAAGGGGUAGAGAGAACCUAGACAGAGGAGAAAGGAUGAACCGCCGGAAGACUCACUGAAAACUACCGUCGGAGUCUAUUCCGGUGAAGAUCAUGAUGCAAGGAGGUGAAGAUCAUGCAGAGAGACUUUCUUGGAAGGGAAAAGAGGAUGUGGGUGGCCAGAGUUCCAUUUUUCAUCAAGAAGUCGAAAAACCCGCAAGGUAAGGAUCUUGAACGUUUUCUCAGAUCUACGGUUUUCCUUUGUGAAUCAAGAUCUGAAAUCUUGAUAUAUUCAUCUAGGAACAACUCUACACAUGAUCUGUGAAGAAGUUUGGCUGAGACCUCAACCCGAAGGCGGAGAUCCGAGAACGGUGUUCGCUGGCUGCUGGUCGAGGUAGAGGAGCGUUUGAGAGCUGUACAGUCACAGAGGGGGUCGUUCCGGAGCGUCAGUCCCUUUUCGGUCUU